GACACAUUGGCCGAAUGGUUAAGGCGGCGGUUUGCUGAGCCGCUGGGCUCUGCCCGUGAGGGUUCGAACCCUCCAAGUAUCG
Non-coding RNA from Perkinsus marinus ATCC 50983, 82 nucleotides. The record is from Rfam. NCBI's taxonomy places the organism in Eukaryota, Perkinsozoa, Perkinsida, Perkinsidae.